This is a long non-coding RNA of Solanum tuberosum (potato), 564 nucleotides long. RefSeq lists it as uncharacterized. NCBI's taxonomy places the organism in Eukaryota, Viridiplantae, Streptophyta, Magnoliopsida, Solanales, Solanaceae. The transcript has 4 exons. The record is from RefSeq and is a predicted model, not a curated record.
AAAAAGUAGAGCUUGACAGAAUCGAGUUCUACAAGCAUAGUCAUUAUAAGAGUAAGAAAGGAUGGUCAUCUUUAGAGGCUGAGACUCACUAUAACAACAUGAAAGAUUUGCAAGAUCUAUAUACUUCGGGAGAGGCUUCCAUGACUACUGAUGAAAUUGUGGAUACCGUACUUGGUACAAAGUCGGGGUACAUAAGAGGACUUGGUUAUGGUCCAAAACCUAAUACUACAAGAGCUACAUAAAGGAAAACGGCAGAGUUAGAGGACUCCCUCAGAAAAGCGAAACAGAAAGCUGCUAGUGCCCAAAAUAAUUUACAGAAUCGAUUAAAUGCUGCUGAAACUGUGGUAGAAAACCAGCAGACUCAGAUACAAGACCAGCAGUCUCAAAUACAAGAUCAACAAUCUCAAAUAGAAGCAUUAAACUCUCAAUUGAAUACUAUUGUGGCACGCCAAGAGGAAAUGUUAAGGAAAAUGCAGUGUUUUGCUCGCUCAUCGCCUUCUAACAGAGAAGGAGCUCCAUGAGAAUGCCAACUUUAGGUAUAAAAGGUGAGAAUUGAAUCAAGUU